This 138-nucleotide unclassified non-coding RNA is filed under the name soil metagenome. RNAcentral describes it as "partial internal transcribed spacer 1". The record is from RNAcentral.
CUGAGUACUACACUCUCUACCCUUUGUGAACUAUUAUACCUGUUGCUUCGGCGGCGCCCGCGAGGGUGCCCGCCGGUCUCAUCAGAAUCUCUGCUUUCGAACCCGACGAUACUUCUGAGUGUUCUUAGCGAACUGUCA